Molecule: ribosomal RNA, 473 nt
Filed under: uncultured bacterium
Lineage: Bacteria
Description: partial 16S ribosomal RNA
Rfam family: Bacterial small subunit ribosomal RNA
Source: RNAcentral
GACGAACGCUGGCGGCGUGCUUAACACAUGCAAGUCGAACGGUAAGGCCCUUCGGGGUACACGAGUGGCGAACGGGUGAGUAACACGUGGGUAAUCUGCCCUGCACAUCGGGAUAAGCCUGGGAAACUGGGUCUAAUACCGAAUAGGACCACAGGACACAUGUCCUGUGGUGGAAAGCUUUUGCGGUGUGGGAUGGGCCCGCGGCCUAUCAGCUUGUUGGUGGGGUGAUGGCCUACCAAGGCGACGACGGGUAGCCGGCCUGAGAGGGUGUCCGGCCACACUGGGACUGAGAUACGGCCCAGACUCCUACGGGAGGCAGCAGUGGGGAAUAUUGCACAAGGGGCGAAAGCCUGAUGCAGCGACGCCGCGUGGGGGAUGACGGCCUUCGGGUUGUAAACCUCUUCACCAUCGACGAAGGUCCGGGUUUUCUCGGGCUGACGGUAGGUGGAGAAGAAGCACCGGCCAACUACGUG